UACGGGGAGGGCAAGCGUUGUUCGGAAUUACUGGGCGUAAAGGGCUCGUAGGUGGCCAACUAAGUCAGACGUGAAGUCCCUCGGCUUAACCGGGGAACUGCGUCUGAUACUGGUUGGCUUGAGUUUGGGAGAGGGACGCGGAAUUCCAGGUGUAGCGGUGAAAUGCGCAGAUAUCAGGAGGAACACCUAUUGCGAAGGCAGCUCGCUGGGACGUUACUGACGCUGAGACGCGAAAGCGUGGGGAGCAAACAGG
RNAcentral lists this ribosomal RNA (253 nucleotides) under uncultured bacterium. RNAcentral's name for it is "partial 16S ribosomal RNA". It matches the Rfam family "Bacterial small subunit ribosomal RNA", at positions 524 to 776 of the family's 1533-position model. The record is from RNAcentral.